RNAcentral lists this ribosomal RNA (465 nucleotides) under uncultured bacterium. Its description in RNAcentral is "partial 16S ribosomal RNA". It matches the Rfam family "Bacterial small subunit ribosomal RNA", at positions 28 to 507 of the family's 1533-position model. The record is from RNAcentral.
GACGGACGCUGGCGGCGUGCUUAACACAUGCAAGUCGAACGGAAAGGCCCCAGCUUGCUGGGGUACUCGAGUGGCGAACGGGUGAGUAACACGUGGGUGAUCUGCCCUGCACUCUGGGAUAAGCCUGGGAAACUGGGUCUAAUACCGGAUAGGACCGUGCUUUAGUGUGUGCGGUGGAAAGUUUUUCGGUGCAGGAUGAGCCCGCGGCCUAUCAGCUUGUUGGUGGGGUAAUGGCCUACCAAGGCGGCGACGGGAAGCCGGCCUGAGAGGGUGUACGGCCACAUUGGGACUGAGACACGGCCCAGACUCCUACGGGAGGCAGCAGUGGGGAAUAUUGCACAAUGGGCGCAAGCCUGAUGCAGCGACGCCGCGUGGGGGAUGACGGCCUUCGGGUUGUAAACCCCUUUCGGCAGGGACGAAGCUUUUGUGACGGUACCUGCAUAAGAAGCACCGGCUAACUACGUG